UACGGAGGAUGCAAGCGUUAUCCGGAUUCAUUGGGUUUAAAGGGUGCGUAGGCGGACUAUUAAGUCAGUGGUGAAAUCCUGCAGCUUAACUGCAGAACUGCCAUUGAUACUGAUGGUCUUGAGUUUGGUUAAGGUAGGUGGAAUGUGUAAUGUAGCGGUGAAAUGCUUAGAUAUUACACAGAACACCAAUUGCGUAGGCAGCUUACUGAGCCGACACUGACGCUGAGGCACGAAAGCGUGGGGAUCGAACAGG
Molecule: ribosomal RNA, 253 nt
Filed under: uncultured prokaryote
Description: partial 16S ribosomal RNA
Rfam family: Bacterial small subunit ribosomal RNA
Source: RNAcentral